Molecule: ribosomal RNA, 562 nt
Filed under: Purpureocillium lilacinum
Lineage: Eukaryota; Fungi; Ascomycota; Sordariomycetes; Hypocreales; Ophiocordycipitaceae
Description: eukaryotic LSU rRNA
Rfam family: Eukaryotic large subunit ribosomal RNA
Source: RNAcentral
AAAAGAAACCAACAGGGAUUGCCCCAGUAACGGCGAGUGAAGCGGCAACAGCUCAAAUUUGAAAUCUGGCCCCCAGGGCCCGAGUUGUAAUUUGCAGAGGAUGCUUUUGGCGCGGUGCCUUCCGAGUUCCCUGGAACGGGACGCCAUAGAGGGUGAGAGCCCCGUCUGGUCGGACGCCUAGCCUGUGUAAAGCUCCUUCGACGAGUCGAGUAGUUUGGGAAUGCUGCUCUAAAUGGGAGGUAUAUGUCUUCUAAAGCUAAAUACCGGCCAGAGACCGAUAGCGCACAAGUAGAGUGAUCGAAAGAUGAAAAGCACUUUGAAAAGAGGGUUAAAUAGUACGUGAAAUUGUUGAAAGGGAAGCGCUUGUGACCAGACUUGGGCCCGGUGGAUCAUCCAGCGUUCUCGCUGGUGCACUCCGCCGGGUUCAGGCCAGCAUCAGUUCGCCGCGGGGGAAAAAGGCUUCGGGAACGUGGCUCCUACGGGAGUGUUAUAGCCCGUUGCAUAAUACCCUGGGGCGGACUGAGGUUCGCGCUCCGCAAGGAUGCUGGCGUAAUGGUCAUCA